GGCGGAUUGGUAAGUCAGGGGUGAAAUCCCACAGCUCAACUGUGGAACUGCCUUUGAUACUGUCAGUCUAGAGUAUAGUUGAAGUUGGCGGAAUGUGUCAUGUAGCGGUGAAAUGCUUAGAUAUGACACAGAACACCGAUCGCGAAGGCAGCUAGCUAAGCUAUAACUGACGCUCAUGCACGAAAGCGUGGGGAUCAAACAGGAUUAGAUACCCUGGUAGUCCACGCUGUAAACGAUGAUUACUCGAUGUUGGCGAUACACAGUCAGCGUCUGAGCGAAAGCAAUAAGUAAUCCACCUGGGGAGUACGAUCGCAAGAUUGAAACUCAAAGGAAUUGACGGGGGCCCGCACAAGCGGAGGAGCAUGUGGUUUAAUUCGAUGAUACGCGAGGAACCUUACCUGGGCUCGAACGUAAGAUGACUGUAGGUGAAAGCUUACAUCUCUUCGGAGCAUUUUACGAGGUGCUGCAUGGUUGUCGUCAGCUCGUGCCGUGAGGUGUCGGGUUAAGUCCCAUAACGAGCGCAACCCCUACCUUUAGUUGCCAUCGGGUCAUGCUGGGGACUCUAAAGGAACUGCCUACGCAAGUAGUGAGGAAGGCGGGGAUGACGUCAAAUCAGCACGGCCCUUACGUCCAGGGCUACACACGUGCUACAAUGGCCGAUACAGAGGGCAGCUACCUGGUGACAGGAUGCAAAUCUCCAAAGUCGGUCUCAGUUCGGAUCGGAGUCUGCAACCCGACUCCGUGAAGUUGGAUUCGCUAGUAAUCGCGCAUCAGCCAUGGCGCGGUGAAUACGUUCCCGGGCCUUGUACACACCGCCCGUCAAGCCAUGGAAGCUGGGGGGACCUAAAGUCGAUAACCGCAAGGAGUCGCCUAGGGUAAAACCAGUGACUGGGGCUAAGUCGUAACAAGGUAGCCG
This 916-nucleotide ribosomal RNA is filed under the name uncultured Lentimicrobium sp. RNAcentral's name for it is "bacterial SSU rRNA". It matches the Rfam family "Bacterial small subunit ribosomal RNA", at positions 574 to 1502 of the family's 1533-position model. The record is from RNAcentral. Lineage: Bacteria; Pseudomonadati; Bacteroidota; Bacteroidia; Bacteroidales; Lentimicrobiaceae.